Molecule: ribosomal RNA, 1532 nt
Filed under: Rossellomorea aquimaris
Lineage: Bacteria; Bacillati; Bacillota; Bacilli; Caryophanales; Bacillaceae
Description: bacterial SSU rRNA
Rfam family: Bacterial small subunit ribosomal RNA
Source: RNAcentral
GAACGAAGGGGGGGUGCCUAUAAUGCAGUCGAGCGGAUCAAAGGGAGCUUGCGUCCCUGAGAUCAGCGGCGGACGGGUGAGUAACACGUGGGUAACCUGCCUGUAAGACUGGGAUAACUCCGGGAAACCGGGGCUAAUACCGGAUAACUCAGUUCCUCGCAUGAGGAACUGUUGAACGGUGGCUUUUGCGAGCUGACGCAUCUUACAUAGUUGGAGCCGCGGCGCAUUAGCUAGUUGGUCGAAGGCUAACGCGUCUCACCAAGGCGACGAUGUCGUUGCCGACCUGAAGAAGGGUGAUCGUCGUCACACUUGGACUUUGACACGGCCCCAGAUCUCCUACGGGAGGCAGCCAGUAGGGAUUCUUUCCGCCAAUGGAGCGAAAGUCUGUCGGAUGGCAACGCCGCGUUAGUGAAGAAGGUUUUCGGAUCGUAAAAACUCAUGUUGUUAGGGAAGAACAAGUGCCGUUCGAAUAGGGCGGCGCCUUGACGGUACCUAACCAGAAAGCCACGGCUAACUACGUGCCAGCAAGCCGCGGUAAUACGUAGGUGGCAAGCGUUGUCCGGGAAUUAUUGGGCGUAAAGCGCGCGCAGGUGGUUUCUUAAGUCUGAUGUGCAAGCCCACGGCUCAACCGUGGAGGGUCAUUGGAAACUGGGGAACUUGAGUGCAGAAGAGGAAAGUGGAAUUCCAAGUGUAGCGGUGGAAUGCGUAGAUAUUUGGCGGAACACCAGUGGCGAAGGCGACUUUCUGGUCUGUAACUGACACUGAGGCGCGAAAGCGUGGGGAGCACACAGGAUUAGAUACCCUGCGUAGUCCACGCCGUAAACGAUGAGUGCUAAGUGUUAGAGGGUUUCCGCCCUUUAGUGCUGCAGCCUAACGCAUUGAGCACUCCGCCCUGGGGAGUACGGUCGCUAGACUGAAAGCUCCUCAGGAUUUGACGGGGGCCCGCACAAUCGGUGGAGCUUGUGGCUUUAGUUCUGAAGCAACGCGAAGAACCUUACCAGGUCUUGGACAUCCUCUGACAACCCUAGGAGAUAGGGCUUUCCCCUUCCGGGGGACUGAGUGACCAGGUGGUGGCAUGGUUUGUCGUCAGCUUCGUGUCGUGAGAUGUUGGGUUAAGUCUGGCAACGAGGUCGCACCCCUCUGAUCCUUAGUUGCCAGCAUUCAGUUUGGCAACUCCUAGGAUGACUGUCGGUCGGACAAACCGGAGGAAGGCGUGGCGGAGUGCCGGACGAUUCGAAUCGUCGUGCCCCCUUAUGCACGUGGGUCAUACACACGUGCUUUAGAAUGGACGGUACAAAGGGCACGCGAGACUGACUAGGGUUUAGCCAAUCCCAUAAAACCGUUCUCAGUUCGGAUUGCAGGCUGCAACUCGCCUGCAUGAAGCUGGAAUCGCUAGUAAUCGCGGAUCAGCAUGCCGCGGUGAAUACGUUCCCGGGCCUUGUACACACCGCCCGUCACACCACGAGAGUUUGUAACACCCGAAGUCGGUGAGGUAACCUUUUGGAGCCACCCCUUUAAGGGGGCCCGCCGGU